RNAcentral lists this ribosomal RNA (832 nucleotides) under uncultured bacterium. Its description in RNAcentral is "bacterial SSU rRNA". It matches the Rfam family "Bacterial small subunit ribosomal RNA", at positions 67 to 889 of the family's 1533-position model. The record is from RNAcentral.
CGGUAGCACAGAGAGCUUGCUCUCGGGUGACGAGUGGCGGACGGGUGAGUAAUGUCUGGGAAACUGCCUGAUGGAGGGGGAUAACUACUGGAAACGGUAGCUAAUACCGCAUAACGUCGCAAGACCAAAGAGGGGGACCUUCGGGCCUCUUGCCAUCAGAUGUGCCCAGAUGGGAUUAGCUAGUAGGUGGGGUAACGGCUCACCUAGGCGACGAUCCCUAGCUGGUCUGAGAGGAUGACCAGCCACACUGGAACUGAGACACGGUCCAGACUCCUACGGGAGGCAGCAGUGGGGAAUAUUGCACAAUGGGCGCAAGCCUGAUGCAGCCAUGCCGCGUGUAUGAAGAAGGCCUUCGGGUUGUAAAGUACUUUCAGCGGGGAGGAAGGUGUUGUGGUUAAUAACCGCAGCAAUUGACGUUACCCGCAGAAGAAGCACCGGCUAACUCCGUGCCAGCAGCCGCGGUAAUACGGAGGGGGCAAGCGUUAAUCGGAAUUACUGGGCGUAAAGCGCACGCAGGCGGUCUGUCAAGUCGGAUGUGAAAUCCCCGGGCUCAACCUGGGAACUGCAUUCGAAACUGGCAGGCUAGAGUCUUGUAGAGGGGGGUAGAAUUCCAGGUGUAGCGGUGAAAUGCGUAGAGAUCUGGAGGAAUACCGGUGGCGAAGCGGCCCCCUGGACAAAGACUGACGCUCACGUGCGAAAGCGUGGGGAGCAAACAGGAUUAGAUACCCUGGUAGUCCACGCCGUAAACGAUGUCGACUUGGAGGUUGUGCCCUUUGAGGCGUGGCUUCCGGAGCUAACGCGUUAAGUCGACCGCCUGGGGGAGUACGGCCGC